GACGAACGCUGGCGGCGUGCUUAACACAUGCAAGUCGAGCGAUGAAGUUCCUUCGGGAAUGGAUUAGCGGCGGACGGGUGAGUAACACGUGGGUAACCUGCCUCAUAGAGGGGAAUAGCCUUUCGAAAGGAAGAUUAAUGCCGCAUAAGAUUGUAGUAUCGCAUGAUACAGCAAUUAAAGGAGUAAUCCGCUAUGAGAUGGACCCGCGUCGCAUUAGCUAGUUGGUGAGGUAACGGCUCACCAAGGCGAGGAUGCGUAGCCGAACUGAGAGGGUGUUCGGCCACAUUGGGACUGAGACACGGCCCAGACUCCUACGGGAGGCAGCAGUGGGGAAUAUUGCACAAUGGGGGAAACCCUGAUGCAGCAACGCCGCGUGAGUGAUGACGGUCUUCGGAUUGUAAAACUCUGUCUUCAGGGACGAUAAUGACGGUACCUGAGGAGGAAGCCACGGCUAACUACGUGCCAGCCGCCGCAGUAA
RNAcentral lists this ribosomal RNA (478 nucleotides) under uncultured bacterium. RNAcentral's name for it is "partial 16S ribosomal RNA". It matches the Rfam family "Bacterial small subunit ribosomal RNA", at positions 28 to 523 of the family's 1533-position model. The record is from RNAcentral.